Molecule: ribosomal RNA, 1289 nt
Filed under: Cordyceps javanica
Lineage: Eukaryota; Fungi; Ascomycota; Sordariomycetes; Hypocreales; Cordycipitaceae
Description: partial large subunit ribosomal RNA
Rfam family: Eukaryotic large subunit ribosomal RNA
Source: RNAcentral
CGGCGAGUGAAGCGGCAACAGCUCAAAUUUGAAAUCUGGCCCUCGGGUCCGAGUUGUAAUUUGUAGAGGAUGCUUUUGGCGAGGUGCCUUCCGAGUUCCCUGGAACGGGACGCCAUAGAGGGUGAGAGCCCCGUCUGGUCGGACACCGAGCCUCUGUAAAGCUCCUUCGACGAGUCGAGUAGUUUGGGAAUGCUGCUCAAAAUGGGAGGUAUAUGUCUUCUAAAGCUAAAUAUUGGCCAGAGACCGAUAGCGCACAAGUAGAGUGAUCGAAAGAUGAAAAGCACUUUGAAAAGAGGGUUAAAAAGUACGUGAAAUUGUUGAAAGGGAAGCGCCUAUGACCAGACUUGAGCCCGGUGAAUCAUCCAGCGUUCUCGCUGGUGCACUUUGCCGGGCCCAGGCCAGCAUCAGUUUGGCGCGGGGGAUAAAGGUGACGGGAAUGUGGCUCCCUCGGGAGUGUUAUAGCCCGCUACGUAAUACCCUGCGCCGGACUGAGGUACGCGCAUUGCAAGGAUGCUGGCGUAAUGGUCAUCAGCGACCCGUCUUGAAACACGGACCAAGGAGUCGUCUUCGUAUGCGAGUGUUCGGGUGUCAAACCCCUACGCGUAAUGAAAGUGAACGCAGGUGAGAGCUUCGGCGCAUCAUCGACCGAUCCUGAUGUUCUCGGAUGGAUUUGAGUAAGAGCAUACGGGGCCGGACCCGAAAGAAGGUGAACUAUGCCUGUAUAGGGUGAAGCCAGAGGAAACUCUGGUGGAGGCUCGCAGCGGUUCUGACGUGCGAAUCGAUCGUCAAAUAUGGGCAUGGGGGCGAAAGACUAAUCGAACCUUCUAGUAGCUGGUUUCCGCCGAAGUUUCCCUCAGGAUAGCAGUGUUGAACUCAGUUUUAUGAGGUAAAGCGAAUGAUUAGGGACUCGGGGGCGCUAUAUUGCCUUCAUCCAUUCUCAAACUUUAAAUAUGUAAGAAGCCCUUGUUACUUAAUUGAACGUGGGCAUUCGAAUGUAUCAACACUAGUGGGCCAUUUUUGGUAAGCAGAACUGGCGAUGCGGGAUGAACCGAACGCGAGGUUAAGGUGCCGGAGUGGACGCUCAUCAGACACCACAAAAGGUGUUAGUACAUCUUGACAGCAGGACGGUGGCCAUGGAAGUCGGAAUCCGCUAAGGACUGUGUAACAACUCACCUGCCGAAUGUACUAGCCCUGAAAAUGGAUGGCGCUCAAGCGUCCCACCCAUACCUCGCCCUCAGGGUAGAAACGAAGCCCUGAGGAGUAGGCGGACGUGGAGGUCAGUGACGAAG